This is a non-coding RNA of Ictidomys tridecemlineatus (thirteen-lined ground squirrel), 4369 nucleotides long. Lineage: Eukaryota; Metazoa; Chordata; Mammalia; Rodentia; Sciuridae. The record is from RefSeq and is a predicted model, not a curated record.
GCAGGAUUUAGAACUUUUGGAGUGAGGACCUAAGACAGAAUAAAGAAAUAUAUUCUAAUGAUACUAUAGGAUACUCACCCAAGGCUCUAAGUUUUAUCUCAGAGUACAGUCUAACUUUCUAUCUCUCCACUUGAAUAUACAAAACUUGGGUAAAUGAUCAGAGUUCUUGAGUAAAGAACUACAUAAACCUUCAUCAGAGUCCUAUGUGUGCUCAGAAAGGCUUGGGAAUGGCAAUGCUGGUGGUAAUACUGCCCACCCAAACCUGUCUACAUAAUGGGCAUCGUCUCCUGGUUGGUAUUCCUGGACAGUGAGGUGUAUCUGCUAAGCAUGAUGCAACUGAAGUCAUUGCAAGCCUGAUUCUUGUUCCUGUGUUGAUAACCAGCGAUACUUUAUGGGCCAGAGAAGAAAGGGGCUUCUCAGACAAUUUACAGCUUCUCUUGGAGGAAAGGUAAUUAAGAACACCAAAGUCGUCAUACUUUAUUGUCUUUGGUUAAUAUUUCAAGUGUAUCCUUUUUCAGUAAAAUGGCAGCAUGUAUCAUCACUCUGGUAGUAAAAGUGAGCUGAAUAUGAAGAAAAUAGCACUUACCCAAAGCCAAGGACAAGGAACCCUGGGCAGCAUGGGCAGUGAGCCAUCAGGGCAGCAGGGUGCUCAGUCAGUGAUCAGCAGGGUGAUCAGCAGUCAGGCAGCAGAUCUUAGCUUGGAGACAGCAGGUGAAGAAAGAGAUGUUGAUGUUCAACUUUUAUAUACUUUGCUGAGUUUCCUCUCUCUUUCACUCAGAGACCUAGGUGUCCUUUUUGUGAUGAGUCUUUUAGGUUGCAAACAAAAAGAAUAAUAGAGACUUUUUAUAAGGACAGACAGGAGAAAGCAGCAACUUGGGGAAACCAACCAGGCCUUCCAGAGACUGGAUAUCUUGGAAGAUGGAAGGUUGUUCAGGGAAGCUCACUGAUUCUUUGUAAUCAGGCAUUGUCUCAGGGUGUUCUAUCAAUCUAUGAUUUUGAUGACUUUUGUUUUCUUUUGCUCACCCUUUAGGAUUCUUGCAACCAUAAAUUCUUGUUUACUACUCAGCACUAGCUUGUAAUGUUUUUCAUAGUUUCUGCUUUCUCAAGUCUUUUGCAAAGACCAUCAGAUUCUCUCUGCCUGACUCAGUUAAAUUACGAAGGAGACUUUGAUUGAUGUGAACUUUCAGAAUCCAGUUCAAGAAAUGCUUAUUGGGCAGGGCUUUUAACUACACCAGACCCAUGACCAUCUAUACUUUGGAAAUGUCAGUGGGUAUGGAUGCCAGGAAUGUGGAAAGCAGGACAGUGGAGGCUAUUCCUGCAAGAUACUGCAGCUAAAGAAUUUCACAUUGAUUCCUGACUCCACAGAAUGCACUUAGAGAUUCCUUGUGGCUCAGAAAAGAAAGAAGCCUAUAAUAUUCAUAUUAUAGUCAUCUGUAGGUAAAAGGGAAAAUGCAAAGGUCCUGACUCUCACACACCACUUGCCUGGGAGGCCUUCCUAGGGCAGCAGUGGAAGUGACCAUUUCCUUCAGAAUUGCCUGUGAGUAUGGCAGACAUUUGGGUUAUUUAUUUAUUUUCUCCUAUCCCUAGCCAUUCUUCUCUAAGCCAGAAAUAAUUCAAUAAUGAAAUCAUGAAUGAUUAUGAAAUUUGUCAAGAGUGAAUGCCCAAUGAGGUCCCAAAGGGGAUUUUGUGAUAGGUAUUACAAGGAAACUUGGGAAAUGGCCAUGGUGGAAUGUCUAAGGGCUGAGACUUGCCUGUGGGUGUGGCUGGGAAGGAGUGCCCAGGAACAGGCCCAGGGUGGGUUUCUCCUGUCACUUUAACCUGAAUUUUUUCGGCUGUUUAAUCAUGUAUUUUCCAAUCAUAUAUUUUAUUGUCACGGGAAGUUUGUAGCUGGGCUCCUUUAACACCAAGCAAGUUCUCCAACAAGACUUUCAGGCUUCUAAAAAUAAUACCAUUUUUUUAUCAUUUAAUAUCAGUAAUUAUUAAACCACUACUUUUUCCACUUAAAAUUUUUCUUUCAAGUCCUCCUUUCAAUAUAAGUUUGAUAGCUUCUGGUUGCGUGUGUCACUAAUACUAUUUGGUGUGCACUAUUUGGAAAUUUUUGAUCUUUCAGUUAAAAAAUACAAAAAUAAUAAAAACAAAUGACAUUCCAUUAUUACAUAGUAUAAAUAUUAAGAUUAUAUUAAAUUGUAUUAUACAAAUUUGUCUUUUAAAGAAAUUCCUUAUCACGAGACUAGUUUCCCGUCAUAUUUUACAUUGAAAAACCAAAAAACCCAAUCUGAAAUUUGAAAGAAACUUACAAAAGAGCCAGAAGUUGUAGUUCUCUUCUGAUUCCAUCUAAAACAUGCUCUACAAGAUGAAGCAGAAAAUGCGAUGACAAAUAUGAUACUAUAUGAUUAUAUACAUAUUGUAUAUACAUACAUACAUAUAUUUCCAAGGUAUAGUCUUCCUUUUUUAUUCAUAGUUAAAAGUAAUCCUGAAAAUAUCAUUGUAUAAUUUUUUUUUAUUAUUUACAAGGUAUGCUGUGAAGUUUUUAUGCUCUAUGAUGAUAAACUUUUACUUUUCACAUUGAUCCUUCCAUGGAGACAUGAAUCUCUUCUUUUUAUUUCUCCUCUAAGACAGAUUCUUAUUUCACUGAUGCUCAAAAAUAAUAAGAACCCCAGGCAUCAUAGUACUUACUAAUCUAUUUCUCUAAGUGUAGAACUGACCACAACUCAAUAUACAUAUCUGUAUGUAUAUGUAUAAUCUUUUUCACUUCAAAUAUAUAUAAAAUAAUUCUUAAAAUGAAUACAUAUGAAUCACAUAUGUAUUCAUUCAUAUGAUUAUCUACUGAAAAUAGAUAAUAAGUGGUCUUAAUGUUGUUUAAAGAAGAAUACUUAGAACAAUAUUAAUGAUGUGGCUUGGAACAUAAAAAGGAUAUUUGCAAAGUCUUGAUGGCUGUGUUUUGUGUCUUGACUAGACAGAAUAUUUAAAUGUGGUUGAUUUAAAUGGAUGAUCCACUUGAAUUCUAUACUUUCUAAAAAGCUCUUUCAACUAGUUCCUUAUUAUCAAUGACAGCUAAUCUUUACUUUAUAUCCUCAAGCACUUGUCAAAGGGGCAGAGACCAUUCUAGGCUCAACCCCAUAAGAGCUCCAGUUCUAAAAUAAAAAACUGUCACUCAGUUCUAUCAUUCCACACUUGAUGAUCUCAUUUAUGCCCUCCUUUCUGUUCCCAGGGCCACCAACCUAGCUCAGAACCUCAUGCUUUUCUCUUGGUGUUUUAGUGGCCUCUGACCUGAACUACGCCAGGUGGCUUACUCAUGAAUUCCAAAUUCAUGUCCUUCAGAGCCUGGUUUCCUGAUCAUGUCACUUGCUUACACAUGCACUUAAAGUGAUUACAAAAUACAGCAAGUCCUGAACAGCCCAGUGGCAAGAAUAGAAGAGGAAGUGCAUGGGGAAAGAGCAGAGCUGAGAGGUGGUGAGAGGAAAAGUACAAGAGCCAGAUUUUCAUCUGGGAUGGGCUGGAGAAAAGAUUCAGUCUUGUCAAGUGCUGCUGGGCCCCUCUCUAGACCUUCCCUGUAUGCCCCACACUUGAACUAAAGGAAGACCAAGAUCAAAUUCCUGUGAAGGAGAGAGAAUCAUCACCUAGAGAAGAGACAGUUUCACUUCUUCAAAGACUGUAUUCCUGUUCAGCCCAGUUGCAGGUAGUUGAAUGGUAGACACCCAAAAGGCAUGCCAAAUCCCUGGAAAGAUGAGAUUAAGGAUCUAGAGAUGGAGUCAUCUUGGAUUGUCAGGUGAACCUUAAAUCCAGCAGCAAGUGUCUGUGUGAGAGAAAGACGGGAGAUUUGGGACACAGACAGAAGAAAUGAAGAUGAUAAACCUGUUGGCAGAGACUGCAGUGAUAUGGCCCCAAGUCCAAGAAUGCAGUUGCCUCCAGCAGAGACGAGGACUAAAGCUGCAUAGAGCCUCUAGAGAGAGCCCAGCAGCCUACAGCCUUGACUUCACACAUUUGGCCUUCAUAACUCUGAGCUGAUACCUUUCUGUUUGAUGCCACAAGUUUGUGGAGAUUUAUUGCAGCAGCCACAGGAAAGGAAUACACAAGAGAUCACGGGACCUCACAAACAAUACAGGCGGCUACUGCUUCAUAACCUGAGCAGAGUCCCAGCAGAGAGGAAAAGAGUGGGACAAUGAGGACGCCACUGUAGUGGCCUUGGGUUAUUCUUUUCUGCUGCUUCAGGCACUCUUCCUUGGCCCUGUGCUUGGUCCUGCUCCAAAUGCACACAGUUUGGCAUCAGCGACUUCUCGUUUAUAGCCUCCCUUCUGCUAUAGCAUCUUUGACUUUGCCAUCAAUCUCAGAUUUUUGUACUAAUAAAAUAUAAUUUCUUCUCCAUAAA